AGAGAGAGACAUGCGCGCAUAUCAAUAAGCGGAGGAAAAGAAACUAACAAGGAUUCCCCUAGUAACGGCGAGUGAAGCGGGAAGAGCUCAAAUUUGAAAUCUUAAAGGGUUUCCCUUUACGAAUUGUAGUUUAAAGAAGUGUUUUCUGUUGAGGUUUUGGUAAAAGUUCUUUGGAAUAGGACAUCAUAGAGGGUGAGAAUCCCGUAUUUGACCUUUACUUUCAACUUUGUGAUACACUUUCAAAGAGUCGGAUUGUUUGGGAAUGCAGUCCAAAAUGGGUGGUAAAUUUCAUCUAAAGCUAAAUAUUGGCGAGAGACCGAUAGCGAACAAGUACCGUGAGGGAAAGAUGAAAAGAACUUUGAAAAGAGAGUUAAACAUGUACGUGAAAUUGUCAAAAGGGAAGCGUUUGACACCAGUGUUGUUUUUCUGAAAAUCAAUUAAAGAACUGUUUAUGCUAAGUUGUUUAGACUUUAUCAGCUAACUGUUUAGUUUUGAGCUUUUCUUUAAUGCACUUUACAGUUAACAAGUCAACAUCAAUUUCUUUUGCUAUAAAAAAGCUUGAGUUAGAAGGUGGCUUGAGAUUCGUCUUAAGUGUUUAUAGCCUCUUGCCUAUGCAGUCGGAGAGAUUGAGGUCUGCAGCGUAGAUCCUUCGGGGCUAAAUGCAUUUGUGCUAAGUUAUAGCAUUUUAUAGACAACUUGUUGACUAUGAUUUGUCUUGUAGCUUACUCGCUUAUGUUAUUUUACCUACGCUUAGGAUGUUGACGCAUGAGAUAUACGC
This 778-nucleotide ribosomal RNA is filed under the name uncultured Neocallimastigales. RNAcentral describes it as "partial large subunit ribosomal RNA". It matches the Rfam family "Eukaryotic large subunit ribosomal RNA", at positions 23 to 647 of the family's 3401-position model. Lineage: Eukaryota; Fungi; Neocallimastigomycota; Neocallimastigomycetes; Neocallimastigales. The record is from RNAcentral.